Molecule: transfer RNA, 72 nt
Filed under: Stegodyphus mimosarum
Lineage: Eukaryota; Metazoa; Arthropoda; Arachnida; Araneae; Eresidae
Rfam family: tRNA
About the family: Transfer RNA (tRNA) molecules are approximately 80 nucleotides in length. Their secondary structure includes four short double-helical elements and three loops (D, anti-codon, and T loops). Further hydrogen bonds mediate the characteristic L-shaped molecular structure. tRNAs have two regions of fundamental functional importance: the anti-codon, which is responsible for specific mRNA codon recognition, and the 3' end, to which the tRNAs corresponding amino acid is attached (by aminoacyl-tRNA synthetases). tRNAs cope with the degeneracy of the genetic code in two manners: having more than one tRNA (with a specific anti-codon) for a particular amino acid; and 'wobble' base-pairing, i.e. permitting non-standard base-pairing at the 3rd anti-codon position.
Source: Rfam by way of RNAcentral
GUCUUGGUGGUGCAAUGGUCAGCACGCUCGGCCCGUAUUCGGAAGUCCGUGGUUCGAGUCCCGGCGAGGACC